AGGAUGAACGCUGGCGGCGUGCCUAACACAUGCAAGUCGAGCGAUUUUUUUUCGGAAGAGCGGCGGACGGGUGAGUAACGCGUGGGUAACCUGCCCUGUACACACGGAUAACAUACCGAAAGGUAUGCUAAUACGGGAUAACAUAUGAGAGUCACAUGACUUUUAUAUCAAAGCUUUUGCGGUACAGGAUGGACCCGCGUCUGAUUAGCUAGUUGGUAAGGUAACGGCUUACCAAGGCGACGAUCAGUAGCCGACCUGAGAGGGUGAUCGGCCACACUGGAACUGAGACACGGUCCAGACUCCUACGGGAGGCGGCAGUGGGGAAUAUUGCACAAUGGGCGAAAGCCUGAUGCAGCAACGCCGCGUGAGCGAUGAAGGCCUUCGGGUCGUAAAGCUCUGUCCUCAAGGAAGAUAAUGACGGUACUUGAGGAGGAAGCCCCGGCUAACUACGUGCCAGCAGCCGCGGUAAUACGUAGGGGGCUAGCGUUAUCCGGAAUUACUGGGCGUAAAGGGUGCGUAGGCGGUCUUUCAAGCCAGAAGUGAAAGGCUACGGCUCAACCGUAGUAAGCUUUUGGAACUGUAGGACUUGAGUGCAGGAGAGGAGAGUAGAAUUCCUAGUGUAGCGGUGAAAUGCGUAGAUAUUAGGAGGAAUACCAGUAGCGAAGGCGGCUCUCUGGACUGUAACUGACGCUGAGGCACGAAAGCGUGGGGAGCGAACAGGAUUAGAUACCCUGGUAGUCCACGCCGUAAACGAUGAGUACUAGGUGUCGGGGGUUACCCCCCUCGGUGCCGCAGCUAACGCAUUAAGUACUCCGCCUGGGAAGUACGCUCGCAAGAGUGAAA
RNAcentral lists this ribosomal RNA (843 nucleotides) under uncultured bacterium. Its description in RNAcentral is "bacterial SSU rRNA". It matches the Rfam family "Bacterial small subunit ribosomal RNA", at positions 26 to 899 of the family's 1533-position model. The record is from RNAcentral.